RNAcentral lists this ribosomal RNA (509 nucleotides) under uncultured bacterium. RNAcentral's name for it is "partial 16S ribosomal RNA". The stretch from base 20 to 328 matches the Rfam family "Bacterial small subunit ribosomal RNA", at positions 47 to 358 of the family's 1533-position model. The record is from RNAcentral.
GACGAACGCUGGCGGCGUGCUUAACACAUGCAAGUCGAACGGAAAGGCCCUGCUUUUGUGGGGUGCUCGAGUGGCGAACGGGUGAGUAACACGUGAGUAACCUGCCCUUGACUUUGGGAUAACUUCAGGAAACUGGGGCUAAUACCGGAUAGGAGCUCCUGCUGCAUGGUGGGGGUUGGAAAGUUUCGGCGGUUGGGGAUGGUCUCGCGGCUUAUCAGCUUGUUGGUGGGGUAGUGGCUUACCAAGGCUUUGACGGGUAGCCGGCCUGAGAGGGUGACCGGACACGUGGGGGAGGCGCUCGGGGGCCGUGUGCGAGAGGGGGAGGGAGGGGGAGAGACGAGACGCGGGGCGGAAGCGUGUGGGAGCGACGGGUUGGACGGGGGGACGGCGUGGGAGUUGAGAACGGCCUGUGGGUGGGACGAGGGGGGGGUGAGGAUAAUGGGAAAAGAAGGACAGGCAAACUGCGUGCCAGCGGCCGGGAGAGUAAUCGGAACAGCAGCCGGCUGAAC